AUGCUUCACCUUUUUAAUAUCUUUCGUGGGUAUGAUGGAAAGGAUAAUUGUGCUCAAGUGCUAGAAGAAGAAAUCUAUAAAAUGUUUGGCACUAAAUAUUUGAUUGAUGAGAAUGAUUGCAAUGUUGUUAGUAUGAAUUCCUUGAAUAUCUAUGAUGCUAAUGAUAUGCAAAGCCACAAGCUUGGGGAAGCUAUGUUUGAUGAAGAUGAUAUUUUUUGUCCCCUAAGUUUUGAUGAGCAAAUUUAUUAUGAUGAAAGCAUGCCACCUAUCUAUGAUAAUUAUUGUGAUGACACAUAUGCUUUAAAGAAGUAUUAUAUCCAUGAAAAUUGUCAUCAUGAUUUUAACUUUCAAUUGGAUUAUGCCUCACAUGAUAGUUACUUUGUUGAGUUUGCUCCCACUACUAUUCAUGAGAAGAAUUUUGCUUGUGUGGAGAGUAGUAAAUUUUCUAUGCUUGUAGAUCAUGAAAGGAAUGCUUUAGGUGCUGGUUAUAUUGUUGAAUUAAUUCAUGAUGCUACUGAAAAUUAUUAUGAGGGAGGAACAUAUGCUUGUAGGAAUUGCAAUAAUAACAAGUUUCCUCUCUAUGUGCUUAAAGUUUUGAAGUUAUGCUUGUUUUACCUUCCUAUGAAAGUUGAUUCUUGUUCCAACAAGUUGUUUGCUCACAAAAUCCAUAUGCAUAGGAAGAGGGUUAGACUUAAAUGUUCUAGUCAUAUUCUUCAUGAUGCUCUCUUUAUGUUACAAUUCUUAUCCUUUAUGUGA
RNAcentral lists this ribosomal RNA (756 nucleotides) under Triticum aestivum (bread wheat). RNAcentral describes it as "partial small subunit ribosomal RNA". The record is from RNAcentral. Lineage: Eukaryota; Viridiplantae; Streptophyta; Magnoliopsida; Poales; Poaceae.